GACGAACGCUGGCGGCGUGCUUAACACAUGAAAGUCGAACGGAAAGGCCCUGCUUUUGUGGGGUGCUCGAUUGGCUAACGGGUGAGUAACGCGUGAGUAACCUGCCCUUGACUUUGGGAUAACUUCAGGAAACUGGGGCUAAUCCCGGAUAGUAGCUCCUGCUGCAUGGUGGGGGUUGGAAAGUUUCGGCGGUUGGGGAUGGACUCGCGGCUUAUCAGCUUGUUGGUGGGGUAUUGGCUUACCAAGGCUUUGACGGGUAGCCGGCCUGAGAGGGUGACCGGCCACAUUGGGACUGAGAUACGGCCCAGACUCAGACGGGAGGCAGCAGUGGGGAAUAUUGCACAAUGGGCGGAAGCCUGAUGAAGCAACGCCGCGUGCGGGAUGACGGCCUUCGGGUUGUAAACCGCUUUCGCCUGUGACGAAGCGUGAGUGACGGUAAUGGGUAAAGAAGCACCGGAUAACUACGUG
Molecule: ribosomal RNA, 468 nt
Filed under: uncultured bacterium
Lineage: Bacteria
Description: partial 16S ribosomal RNA
Rfam family: Bacterial small subunit ribosomal RNA
Source: RNAcentral